Molecule: long non-coding RNA, 893 nt
Filed under: Pan troglodytes (chimpanzee)
Lineage: Eukaryota; Metazoa; Chordata; Mammalia; Primates; Hominidae
Description: long non-coding RNA NONPTRT002122
Source: RNAcentral
GUGGAGCUGUCUUUUCUGCACAGAGUGUGCACUAUCAUCGUAACAGCAGAGACGGAGAGCAAGAUCUGAUGGCACUAAGGCUGAACCCAGAAGCUGCAGCAGUGGACGGAUGAUGAUCUGAAGAAAUGAGAUCCCUGAUGGGCUUGGAAGUCAUGGUUCCUGUAAUCAUGAUGUCACACCCUCGUCCUGACACCGAGAUGGGCUGGACACAUCUGUCACCCAGGGCAAACAAAAUGCUUGGUCUGCAUCUUUCAGAAGAAAACUAAAAAUCAAGUAAUUUCUUAGAAUUUUGCUUGCGUGUGGCUUAAGUCUUCUUCUCCUGUUGAGGAAGGUGUUGAGUUUGACCAUGACAGCCCCACCCAGUCCUUGGCUCAUCUCACCCACCAGAGAGGAUCUGGAGAUUCAGAGCUAUGCCAUGGAAGACCUUGUCAGAGCACCAGGCCAUACUGUGCUGCAGGUGGGGUUCAGGUGCCCAGUGACAACCACCAGGGCCGCUUAUCCCUAAACGUCUGUUGAACUUAAAGUUCUACUCAAGACUUUCUACAUUAAAUACCCUUUCAUACAGCAAAAUCUGCCAUGUUCUGAGAUGCGAAACUGCAGCACAAAGUUACUGUGGUCUCCACCUAUAGAAAUGGAAUGUUACUUCAUAAAGCCCCAGGCCAAAAAAGAAACCCCAAAACUCUGAAACAACACCCUUAAAUUUAACCUGAACAUCUGGCCAGCCUCCUCCAUCAUUGAAACUUCUCCUGAGUGUUGGCAUGGAUCCUAUGUUUCUCCAGCCAGGGAGCUUUGCUCCCCAUUCUCGAUGGACCCACUGAGUCCCAAUUUUCUACAUUUUACUUGGGUCAUUCCACCACUUUGGAAUGCUUUUCCUACUCUGUCGUACUUUAAAA